Molecule: small nuclear RNA, 118 nt
Organism: Hippoglossus stenolepis (Pacific halibut)
Lineage: Eukaryota; Metazoa; Chordata; Actinopteri; Pleuronectiformes; Pleuronectidae
Product: U5 spliceosomal RNA
Exons: 1
Source: RefSeq, a predicted model, not a curated record
UGGCUCUGGUUUCUCUUCUGCUUGCACCACGUCUUUCGCCUUUUACUAAGAAAGACUUCCGUGGAAGGGAACAAACAUGAGUUUGAAUAUAUUUUUGGCAGGCUUUGCUGUAUGGCUG